UGUUGCUGGUGAGAGUGCUGUGUGUGAGUGGUGAGUGUUUGUGUUGUAUGAAUGUGCGAGUGGUUAAUUAGGAGUAUAUUUAAAAAUCUACACCGUGAUCUUAUUUGAUCUGAUCCGUGUUUUUGCCCUGCGCGGAUUCAGAAAUGAUAAGAAGAGACUCGUGAGUCCUCCGUGGCGCUGAGCGUUGGGCUUUUAUAGCCGCAUAGCAGCUUCAGGGCACCGCAAUUGAGAUUGUGGUUAGAAAUGAUGAAUCGAUCAGAUAUACUAGUGCCGGUGGGAUUAUGGAGGAUUUCCUUCAGUCUUUCUUUACUGGUCUAUGAGUAUAGAGGCGAUUCUGAUCCUC
Non-coding RNA from Hemibagrus wyckioides, 343 nucleotides. RefSeq annotates it as small Cajal body-specific RNA 2. The record is from RefSeq and is a predicted model, not a curated record. The transcript has a single exon. Lineage: Eukaryota; Metazoa; Chordata; Actinopteri; Siluriformes; Bagridae.